Molecule: ribosomal RNA, 405 nt
Filed under: bacterium
Lineage: Bacteria
Description: partial 16S ribosomal RNA
Rfam family: Bacterial small subunit ribosomal RNA
Source: RNAcentral
UAAGGAAUAUUGCGCAAUGGGGGAAACCCUGACGCAGCAACGCCGCGUGGAGGAUGACACUUUUCGGAGCGUAAACUCCUUUUAUCAGGAAAGAAUAAUGACGGUACCUGAUGAAUAAGCACCGGCUAACUCCGUGCCAGCAGCCGCGGUAAUACGGGGGGUGCAAGCGUUACUCGGAAUCACUGGGCGUAAAGGACGCGUAGGCGGAUUAUCAAGUCUUUUGUGAAAUCUAGUGGCUUAACCACUAAACUGCUUAGGAAACUGAUAGUCUAGAGUAGGGGAGAGGUAGAUGGAAUUCUUGGUGUAGGGGUAAAAUCCGUAGAGAUCAAGAAGAAUACCCAUUGCGAAAGCGAUCUGCUGAAACCUAACUGACGCUGAGGCAUGAAAGCGUGGGUAGCAAACAGG